AUUGAACGCUGGCGGCGUGCCUAACACAUGCAAGUCGAGCGGUAACAGGUGUAGCAAUACAUGCUGACGAGCGGCGGACGGGUGAGUAACGCUUGGGAAUCUGCCUGUUAGUGGGGGACAACCCGGGGAAACUCGGGCUAAUACCGCAUACGCACUACGGUGGAAAGCCGGGGACCGCAAGGCCUGGCGCUAACAGAUGAGCCCAAGUCGGAUUAGCUAGUUGGUAGGGAACGGCCUACCAAGGCGACGAUCCGUAACUGGUCUGAGAGGACGACCAGUCACACCGGAACUGAGACACGGUCCGGACUCCUACGGGAGGCAGCAGUGGGGAAUCUUGCGCAAUGGGCGAAAGCCUGACGCAGCGACGCCGCGUGAGGGACGACGGCCUCGG
This 391-nucleotide ribosomal RNA is filed under the name uncultured bacterium. RNAcentral describes it as "bacterial SSU rRNA". It matches the Rfam family "Bacterial small subunit ribosomal RNA", at positions 29 to 420 of the family's 1533-position model. The record is from RNAcentral.